This 306-nucleotide ribosomal RNA is filed under the name uncultured Peredibacter sp. RNAcentral describes it as "bacterial SSU rRNA". It matches the Rfam family "Bacterial small subunit ribosomal RNA", at positions 1033 to 1340 of the family's 1533-position model. Lineage: Bacteria; Pseudomonadati; Bdellovibrionota; Bacteriovoracia; Bacteriovoracales; Bacteriovoracaceae. The record is from RNAcentral.
GACAGGUGCUGCAUGGCUGUCGUCAGCUCGUGUUGUGAAAUGUUGGGUUAAGUCUCGCAACGAGCGCAACCCCUAUCUUUAGUUGCCAGCAUUAAGUUGGGCACUCUAGAGAGACUGCCCGGGUUAACCGGGAGGAAGGUGGGGAUGACGUCAAGUCCUCAUGGCCCUUAUGCCUAGGGCUACACACGUAAUACAAUGGUACGAACAAUGGGACGCGAACCUGCGAGGGGGAGCAAAUCUCAAAAAACGUAUCUCAGUCCGGAUUGGAGUCUGCAACUCGACUCCAUGAAGUUGGAAUCGCUAGUA